Molecule: unclassified non-coding RNA, 732 nt
Filed under: Hevea brasiliensis (rubber tree)
Lineage: Eukaryota; Viridiplantae; Streptophyta; Magnoliopsida; Malpighiales; Euphorbiaceae
Source: RNAcentral
AUUUUCCCUUUCUGCGUCUCUCACCUGGAGUCGGUAGGUCGGUGCCACUGCCUCUCCGUCAGGUUUGUAUCUGUUUGUUUUAUAACUGCGGCGUCUGCUACCAGAUAAAUCUGUCUACCGAAGCGGAGAAGUUGCCUAGUGUUUUUUCUUUGCGCUGGGAUUUGAGCUCAUAGGUCUAAACCCACUUUGUUGACUACCAGGAUACACUUUUGGUCAAUAUCAAAUCAAACCGAUCACUUUCUUGGAAAUUUAAAGCAGCCCUGCUUUGUUGGUGUCAUACCUCUAAACCUUUUCCUUCCUAGUCAGUGCUUAUCCCUUGUAACAAUGGGAACACCAGAGACUUCUCGUGAACCUUGCCCUGACCGUAUACUUGAUGAUGUUGGCGGAGCAUUUGGCAUGGGUGCUGUUGGAGGUUCAGCCUUCCACUUCUUAAAAGGCAUAUACAACUCACCAAAAGGUGAGCGCUUGAUUGGCGGUUCACAGGCAGUGCGCAUGAAUGCUCCUCGUAUUGGUGGUAGUUUUGCUGUGUGGGGUGGGCUUUUCUCCUCAUUUGAUUGUACAAUGGUUUAUCUCCGGCAGAAAGAAGAUCCUUGGAACUCUAUUAUUGCUGGUGCAGCAACUGGUGGCUUUCUACAGAUGCGGCAGGGACUGGGUGCUGCUUCUAGAUCAGCACUGUUUGGUGGAGUUUUACUUGCGUUGAUAGAGGGAGCUGGAAUUAUGUUAAAUAAAGUC